UCCCCUGUGGCGCAACCGGUAGCGCGUCAGACUGUUAACUCUCAUCCUGAGAAAACACAACAUAUCUGGAGGUCCUCAGUUCGAUCCUGAGCGGGGGAG
This is a non-coding RNA of Immersiella caudata, 99 nucleotides long. The record is from the annotation of a GenBank genome assembly. Lineage: Eukaryota; Fungi; Ascomycota; Sordariomycetes; Sordariales; Lasiosphaeriaceae.